RNAcentral lists this ribosomal RNA (231 nucleotides) under uncultured bacterium. RNAcentral describes it as "partial 16S ribosomal RNA". It matches the Rfam family "Bacterial small subunit ribosomal RNA", at positions 100 to 334 of the family's 1533-position model. The record is from RNAcentral.
GGACGGGUGAGUAAUGUCUGGGAAACUGCCUGAUGGAGGGGGGUAACUACUGGAAACGGUAGCUAAUACCGCAUAACGUCGCAAGACCAAAGAGGGGGACCUUCGGGCCUCUUGCCAUCGGAUGUGCCCAGAUGGGAUUAGCUAGUAGGUGGGGUAACGGCUCACCUAGGCGACGAUCCCUAGCUGGUCUGAGAGGAUGACCAGCCACACUGGAACUGAGACACGGUCCAG